UAGUUAUCCGAUUUCACUGCAGUACCAGUAUGCUGUUGGGAAUUUCAGGCAUAUAAAAGUGAGCUCAACCAUCUGUAGUGCAGCAUGCCAGUUCAGUAGUUCAUUCUGUCAUCUGGGAUUCCCCAGCAUAGCAUUCAAGUUCUCCUUUCAGCUGAAUUAAUGGGACCCAUGAUGAAAGGACACAGCACACUGGGUUCUUUUGAAGACCCUGACCUGGAGUUACAUGCUGACUUCAGUUCUUUGCAGGAACGAGACCCGCUCUCGGGGGGGUCUCACGACUGGCUGUCAUUCGAUAUACUAAGGAGGCGUCCGAGAAGACUAGCACGCCUUCAGGGUUUUGGGAUUUCGUGGCUCUGGAGUUUCAGACGACCUCCUCCGCUAGUACUGCUAUGUCUCCUUGAAAACCCUGUUACGUAGACGGACUCUUCAGAGGGCAGCUCGGAGCCUGACAGCUGGGAUUCCGCCUGGAGAAGACAAAGCCCAAUGCACUUUAAUGGCUGCAAAGUGCUUUUAUUCUUCGACUACUGCAGACUAAAAGCUUGUUUUCCAUGAAGUGAAGAUUGUUUAUCAAUUAUGUAAAUAUAGGGCACCCAUGCAGAAGACCCAUUUGCAGGACUAUUGUAAAAUAAUCUAAUUUAUUCCUCCAAAUGAGAAUAGAACAAAUUGAUUAAAAAAAACAAUUUUUAUUACUGAAAACUCACAGAUGACCAGCUUGUUUGAGGUGUUGAAUGAGCUCAGUGCUGAUGCCAGUACUGACCCUGUCAAGAGAUUGUCAGCUCAGCUGGAAAUCAUGUAAAUUAAGUAUUGGUAAUGGAUAUCCAGAAAAUUUGGGCAGUAUAUUUGAUGCCUUCCCCCCUCUGCUCCUUCCCUUCUCUCUGCCCACCCCACCCCAAUCUCCUCCCCCACAUCUCCAAGGUGUUGAUCCCAGAAACUGUGGCUUGCUUUGGGGAUAUUUUCCUUGCAAGUUUCAUUACUAAUGGGGACAAAAUAUUUCAAUUUUGGGAGCUUUAAUAUGGAGAUAAGAUAGAUUUUGAAGCAGCACCCUGAUCCAGAUGUGUAGGGGCAAGGCAGUUCUACAGCUGCUACAAUGUUGUUCCCUCCUAAUAAAUUGCAAGUGUUCAUAAAUACUGUAACUUGCAUCAUCUCCAACAGUUUUAAACGUGUCAUGCUAUAAUGCACUGGACGACAUAAUCUGUCCUCUUAAAAAGUAGUAUCACAUUUGUUAGUAAACCAAAACUAAACAUUUAAUCCUGCCGGAGAGUCUCAGCCUGAAACGUCGGCUGUGCUUUUUUCCACAGAUGCUGCUUGGCCUGCUGAGUUCCUCCAUCAUUUUGUGUGUGAUUUAUUCAUAAGCUGAGCAAUAUGUGGCGAUGAAACGAUAAAAGACAGCAAAUCAAAUCUGACCACAAAUGUUUAAGUAUUCUGAUCAGAACCUGUUUCUUAUGUAAUCCUGUUUAAUCUUUAAUAUAUUUGAGUUGAAAGUCCUUUGUAGACUUUUGAGAAAUCAUACAUAAAUAAUGUAAUUCUAAUGCUGAUUGAGUAUGAUUUCAUAUGCAAACUAAACUGAAGUAUUUGGGCAGAUGUUUGAAUUUUGCACUUCACAGUGAAUGUAUAACCAUUAAUCACAUGGCAUUUUGAAGAUCAUUAUUUAACUCUAUUAUUUGAUGAACAAUGGGAAUAGUGCCUCUUGACUCCAAUUUGUACAUCUCAUAAACCUUCACACAACUUGUGAUAACUGGAAAUUUAUUAUCUUCUUGUCAGCUUCCAUUUUAACACUAUUUCCUUCAUUACUAUACAGAGGAAUGUGUAAAAUUCCAUUGGUAAGGAGGUACCGAAACCUAAAGUCCCACUCCACCAGAUUCAAGGACAUUUUCUCUUCAAUCAUUUGGUUCUUGAACCAACCUGUGCAGCUUUAAUCACUACCCCAACUGUAUGGCUGUUUAGAUCAUUUUGUACUACAAUAGCUUUGCUUUUCAUUGUAAUUGUGUUCUUUCUUGCGAAAGUUGUGCAUAAUUUAUGUUUUUAUUUCUUUUGAAUGUUGUAUAUUUGAUGCUAUGUGCCUGUGCUGCUGCUACAAGUAUUUUUUCCAUUGUACCUGUGCAUUCCUGUACUUGUACAUAUGACAAUUAGUUGAAUUUUAACUUUGAAUUAUUCCUUUCUCAUGCAGGAUAGAAGAGAAUGAGGAAACACAUUUCCCAGCAAGUAUGAUGAAUGAUACAGUGCUUUGUAAAAAUAUUCAUCCCCCAACCCUUUGUUCACAUAAAUGGGUAUUAGCCAGCGAUUUUGAUCACUUUAACGGAGAAUAUUUAUUUGUGAAUUAUAUGCUCUUUUAUCAUAGUAGAGUCCCCAAAUAAACAGAAAAAAAUUUUAAAGCAUGAAUAACUAAAGAUUUAAAAACUGAAAUGUCAGCAAUUCAAAAGUAUUCAUCCCCCUUUGCUCAGUACUUAGUUAAACCACUUCUCACAGCUAUUAGAGUCUUCUUGGAUACAGGUAGGUCUCUAUUUACUUUGACCACCAUGAUAGAGCAAUAUUUGCCCAUUCCUCCCUGCAAAACUGCUCAAACUGUACGUGUUAGUUGGAGAGUGGUGGUGGUGAUGCACCAUCAAUAACUCUCCGAGAUGUGAGGCGAGAUAUAGGCUUUUAUUGGCUGGAAGAAAGAACAAGCAGCAAUUGACCACCACACUGCAUCCUGGAGACUGAGGCCAGGGCUGUGUCUCCAAUCGCCUUUAUACCGGAGUCUGUGGGAGGAGCCACAGGAGCAGUCAGCGGGGGGUGGGCAUGUCCAGACAGGUAUAUGUAGUUCACCACAGGUGGACAGCAAUCUUGUAGUCUUGCCAGUGAUGUUCAAUCAGGUUGAGGUCAGGCUACUGACCGGAAGACUCAAAGGCAUCAAUUUUCUUCAUUUUAAGUCAUUCCAUGGUUGUUCUGUUAGUGUGCUUUGGAUUUUUGCCCAUCUGAAAGAUGAAUUUCUUCCCCAUUUUAAGCUUUCUGGCAAGUUUUUAUCCAGGAUCUCUCUGUAUUUAGCAGUCGUCAUCUUCCCAUCAAUCUUGACCAGAUUUCCAGUCCCUGCUGCUAAAAAGCAUCCCCAUAGCAUGAUACUACCACCACCAUACUUUACAGCAGGAAUGGUUUUACCUAGCUGAUGCAUAGUAUAAGAUUUACACCACAUGUACCGCUUAAUCUUAAGGCUAAAAUGUUCUACUUUAGUCUCAUCUAACCACAAGACCUUUUUCCACAUCUUUAUAGUAUUUUCUAAGUGAUGGCUUGCAAAGUCUUUAUGGGCAAGGGUAUAUAUUUGUUUUUUAGCCAGGGUUUCUUCCUUGCCAUUCUUCCAUAAAUACAUUUUUUAUUCAAGGCCUUAGAGAUUGUGGAGCCAUGAACUUCCUCUCUAAUUGCACCCAUUGACUAUUGCUGCUCAAUCAGAGUGACUGUUGACAUCACAGUAACCUCUCCUAUGUGUGCCAUAUUUCUCCGGUGAUGAAGUUCAAAGGGGCGGCUUGACUUAGGCAGUGUGGCUGUGGUUUCAUAUCUUUUCCACUUUUCCAUGAUGGACUGCACUGAGCAAGUUAUGUUCAGUGCCUUUGAUAUGGCCUUGUACUGUUCCCCAGAUUUGAACUUCUCCGUUAUCAUUUCCCUGACUAGACUUGAAUGCUGUUUUUUGUUUCAUUUUGGUUUGGUCUGUUGAACAUCUACCAUACUGUUGGACCUUACAGAGAGAGGGGUAUUUAUUCGGGUGAUCCUCUGACUUCCUAUGCUAUAUCAACAACAAAGUACACUGCAGAUGCUGUGGUCAAAUCAAGAUGUACAAAAAAGCUGGAUAAACUCAGCAGGUCGGGCAGCAUCCAUUGAAAGAAGCAACAGAUGUGUCCUGACAAAGAGUCUCAACCCAAAACGUUGGCUGCUUCUUUCAACAGAUGCUGCCCAACCUGCUGAGUUCAUCCAGCAUUUUUGUACGUCACUAUAUCAACAAAUUGGGUAGUUGCAAAGGUGACAUAUAGUAUCUCGCCGGAGGAAAGUUAGAGUAGUAAUUAUAAAGGGGAAGGAAACUUUUCCAGCCUCACAAUUUUGGUUUUUAAUUUUAAGUAAUUUGUUGAUAGGUUUUUGAAUUUUGGAAUUUUUCAUUUGAUUUGACAUAAUAUAAAAUGUAUUGUAGAUUAGCUCAAAAUAUCCUACUUCAAUAUGUUUUAAAUUUUGAAAAUGAGACAGUAAAAUGUGAAAAUAAUUGUGGAGGCCGAAUACUUUUUCAAGGCACUGUACAUUAUGCUUCCUACAGUCUUGUUUACUAUGCAGUAAUUUUAAAUGUACUAGCUUUCAGAGGAUUGAUACUUUUUAUUGUCAAUGUUGUAUGUGAAGAAGGUGGAUAAGGGAGCUGUCAGAUUUUGAUGAAAGGUUGUUGGGCUGAAAUGGUAGCUAUAGAGUUCUUACCUAUUAUUUCCAGCAUUUUCUGUUCUAUAUUCUCUAUAAAACCUAUAUUCUCUAGGUUUUGCUGAAAUGCAAUUGAUUUGCUGAUACAACACUAAAUUUCUCAUUUCUGUAAUGUAAUUUGGCUGAAGGUACAAGAAAUAGUUUGGUAAUUUAUGGUUUUUCUUAGGGUUUUCAAGGCUAUCAGAACCAUAUUGUAACACCCAUUUUAAUUACAUUAAACAUAGAAUAUAAAAACAGAAUUACAGUUUUUUUUCUUGCAAGACAGAUAUUGUGAUGGUACCUCCUGUCCUUCAGUUUCCAGCCUCACACUUCCCGUCAUGGGGCACAGGGUAGGGAUUUGGUGGAUCGGUGCAACAUAAAAGCACCUUGUGAGUGGUAAAAACCAUGAUGGACAUUUGGUGAACAUCCAGUAAUAGGGCAUUACUGUACUUUCCUGAGGUUAAAUCAUCUGAAUAAAGCCAUAGCUUCAUAUAGUGAUGCCCUGGACUGGUGAAACUCCGAUUUCUAGUUGCUGCUUCCAGUAAUCCAUGGUGAAUGAUUGUCUAGCAAACAAGAGACUUAUCAUUUUGUAAUGUAUGUUUGAACAGCAAACAAGCUGGCUCUGCUGCUAUCUCUUGUAACAGCUUGGAAGGUGCCAUUUGUAAAGUACGAGACUGUAAUACCUUCGACUGCUCUAAACAAUACUUUGCCAUCUGUCAGUUACAUUUCUUGUUGCAGGAAUGACAUAACCAGUCUGGCAAAGCAAAGUUUCUCUCACACAAUGCUCUCUGAAAUGGCAGCUAUUGUAUGUUGCUCAUGAGGAUGUAAUUAAAAUCACUUUAAAUAUUGUUCAGAAUGGACAUUAUUUGACUGUGGUAUUAGAAAACAAUUACAUUUUAAACUUAAGUUAGGAUCUAAGGUGCUUUUGGCAGGAUCAAGGUCCAUUAGAAAAUGGAUAUAGGUAGAUAUCUGGCAGUAAGUGAACAUGACUGGUAUGUUAUUUUAUUUCUCAAUCUCCUUGUAAUAAAGCUCAGAGGUAAAUAGGAAACAAAGGUAGCUCUACUAAACUUUACUGAUCAGUUAAAAAGUCUUUGCUUAAAUCAGUAGCUCUGUUUUUCUUUCUACAGAUGCUGGCAGACCUGCUGAGUGUUUACAACAUUCUCAAUUUUUGUUUGUAGUUCCGUUGUUAUUUCUUCUUCCAAUCUGCUAUUCAUAUCACAAACAAAUUCGCAUAUGAUGCCUGACAAGCUGUUGAUCAUUGGAGAGACAGAACUACUGAAAAUUCUCCUGUGCUCAUUAACCAUUGGCUCAGAGUUGGAUAUGAUUACUCCAAAACUGCUUCGUUCUCUGCACUGUCUCAUCACUCAAACCAGACACAGCCUGGUCUGAAAUCCCAGACCUGAUGUGGCAGAGUUGUUAUUCCUGAGCUGAAGCCCAGAACCUGGAGGACCGGUGGACCACUCUUAGUAUGUUCUCUACCCUCUGACCUGUUUGGCAUGGGUGACCCUAACAAGAGCCAAGGCAUAAAACUGUGAUUUCAGCCAACAUAACUCUCUGGGUCAUUGAAGCACGCAAGCCUCCAAAUGUAAUGAGGUUUUGAUCCACUUGGAUGCCCUGGACACUGCUAGAGAUGGAGGACCUUCAUUGGUGCCCUAAAUGCCAGCGGUGUACAAUUGAUAUGUACUACAGCUUUCUAUCAUGGUGAAGAAGCUAUAUAAACGGAAGGUGCUACCGCAUUCCAGUGACAGCGUUCAUGUGACAACACUUCAUUUAUCCUAUUUGGCCAGCGGACAAAAGUUCACAGAAUACAGUUGUCACAUGUGAAGGUUCACACUUUUCAAACAAGGUUCAACUCAAUAUGGCAAACCAGAGCACAGAAGGAGAAAGGAACAGGGGUCUAGGAACUGGAGGAGUCCACAACAGAGAUGGAUGAUCAUUUGGAGAUCAGGUGGCUGGGGUCUUGUUGGAGCCUGUGAUCUACUGCAGUUCUUUAUGGCAGCCUGUCGCUGAUUGACUGGGUUUCCAUAUUUCCAGGAGCGGAUCUCUUACCAGUGUCAGGAACUGAAGUGUCGCUGGAGAGCAGAACGUCAAAACGGAUUGUGGGGCUGUCAGAGGCAUCUGUACUUGGGCAAUCACUCUCCCUAUCUCUCUUGAAUGUGUGAGAGUCUGUUGAUGAUGCUCGUCAGGGGUAACUCAAAAUAAAAGCAUUGCUUCAGACUGUAACAUCGAAAGAGUGAACUAUUCGUCUCCCCUCUUGCUGUAGAAGGACUGAUACCUCUGUCUCCCUUACUAAUGAGAGAGAGGGACUGUGGCAUGUUGAACUGUUGGGUGAACAAUGUUCUUGUUGGCCUCUGCUUGGAGGCUUUCUAUUGCUUGCUUGGUGAGUGGCGGGUGCUGACGCUUCCUGCUGGAAUAAGUAGGGGGAAGGGAUGAUGCUUUUUCUGCUAGUGCGUGGGAGGGGAAGGGAUCCGUGGGGUUCUGUCAUUCAUUCUUUGGCAUUUUUCUUCUGUUUUGUCAUUGUCUGGAGAGUGAGAAUUUCAGGUUAUAUAUUGUAUAUAUUCUCUCUGAUGUUGAAUGGAACCAUUGAACCAUUGGUGAGGAAUGCAAGUGCAAUGUUAGAAUUCAUUUCAAAAGGGCUACAUUAUAAAGACAAGGAUGUAAUGUUGAAGCUUUAUAAGCACUGGUGAGGCUUCAGUUGGAGCAUUGUGAGCAGUUUUGGGCCCAUUAUCUAGGAAUGGAUAUGCUGUCUUUGGAGACAGAGAAGGUUCAUGAGAGUGAUUCCAGGAAUGAAAUGGUUAAUGUAUAAAGAGUAUUUGACAGCUCUGGUUCUGUACUUGCUGGAAUUUAGACUGAGUGGGUUGGGGAGAAUCUCAUUGAAACUUACUGAAUUUUGAAAUGCCCAGAUAAAGUGAAGGAUGUGGAGAAGAUGUUUCCUAUAGAGGGAGAAUGCCUCAGAAUAGGGGGUAUGUCUAUUUAUAACAGAGAUGAGGAAGAAUUUCUCUAGCCAGAGGUUGGUGAAUCUGUGGAAUGCAUUGCCAUGAGUGGCUAUGAAUACUACAUUAUUGGGUGUAUCUAAGGCGGAGGUUGAUAGAUUCUUGAUUAGUCAGGGCAUCAAAGACAAUAGGGAAAAGAUAGGAGAAUGGGGGUAAGAGGGCAAAUAGAUUUGAUGGGCUGAAAGGCCUAAUUCUGCUCCUAUGCCUGUGGUCUUAUGCCACUGACCUAGCCCUCAGCAGACUGCGGAUCUCUGGGUUCAUCCACGGCUUUUGGUUUGGGUACGUCCAGUAUAUUCCUAAAGAGAGACACAAACACGCACAUCCCCUCAGGUCCAGGUGAAGUCAGUGACCACUGUGGCAUAUUCAUUAAGAUUUGAAGAUGAAUCCCAGAAUAUUGUCCAGUCCACUGAUUCAAAGCAGUCCUGAAAGCCCAUCUCCACCUCCCCUUGACAAAACUCUUGUGGUCCUCACCACAGGUGCUGCAGUUCUCAAUCUCCAGCUGUAUGCUGGAAGUAGUACAGCCAAGUGACUGGUCUUUCCAAAGUGUAUGGGUGGGAUGACAUGCUAAGCAUUCUUGAUGGUGGUAUAGUAGUAGUCAAGUGUGUUGGUAGCUCUGGUUUGACAGGUGAGAUGUUGAUGGUUGUUGGUUCAUAAGAUGAAAUGACUAUAAGAUAUAGGAGCAGAAUUAGGCCAUUUGGCCCAUUGAGUUUGCUCUGCUAUUUCAUCAUAUUUUCAUCUAAUUUUCCUCUCAAUUUUCCUCCCAGUUUCCUGCUUUCUCCCUGUAUCCCUAACCAAUCAAGAACCUAUCAACCUCUCCCCUAAAUAUACAUAAAGACUUGGCCUCCACAGUUUUCUGUGGAAAAGAAUUCCACAGAUUCACCACUCUCUGGCAAAAGAAAUUCCUCCUCAUCUCCAUUCUAUAAGGAAGCCCCUUUAUCCUGAGGCUCUGUCUUCCGGUCUUAGACUCUCCCACCAUAGGAAGCAUCCUCUCCACAUCCACUCUUUCAAGUCCUUUCACCAUUCGAUAGGUUUCAAUGAAGUCACACCUCACUCAUUGGAAUUCUAGUGAAUACAGGCCCAGACUCAUCAAAUGCUCUUCAUAUAACAAGCAAUUCAAUCCUGGAAUCAUUUUCGUGAAGCUCCUUUGAACUUACUCUAGUUUCAGCACUUCCUUUCUAAGAUAAGGUGCCCAAACCUGCUCACAGUAGUCCAAGUGAGGCCUCACCAGAGCUUUAUAAAGUCUCAUUAUUACAUCCUUGCUUUUCUAGUCUAGUUCUCUUUGCAUUUGCCUUCCUUCACAUAGACUCAACCUGCAAAUUAAUCUUUAGGAAAUCCUGCACAAGGACUCAAGUCCUUUUGCACCUCAGCUUUUGCUGUUUUCUAGCUAUUUAGAAAGUAGUCAACAUUUUCACUUCUUCUACCAAAGUGUAAGCUUCCUGCCAUUUCUUUGCUCAUUCUACUAAUCUGUCUAAUUCCGUCUGCAGCCUCUCUACUUCAUCAAAACUACCUGCCCCUCCACCCACCUUCAUAUCGUCUGCAAACUUUGCAAUAAAGCCAUCAAUUCCAUCAUCCAAAUUAUUGCUAUAAAAAGUAUCAGUCCCAACACAAACAGCCGUGGAACACCACUAGUCACUAGCAACCAGCCUUUAUUCCCAUUAUUUGCCUCCUACCAAUCAACCACUGCUUAAUCUAUGUUAGAGUCUUUCCUGUAAUACCAUAGACUCAUAACUUAUUAAGUAGCCUCAUGCGUGGCACCUUGUCAAAAGCUUUCUGAAAAUCCAAGUAAAUGAUAUUAACCGACUCUCCUUUGUCUAUCCUGCUUGUUGGUUCUUCAAAGAAUGGAAACAGACUUGUCAGACAAAAUUUUCCCUUGAGGAAACUAUGCUAACUACAGCCUAUUUUAAUCAUGUGCCUCCAAGUACCCUGAGACCUCAUCAUUAAUAAUCGACUCUAAUAUCUUCCCAACCACUCAGGUCAGACUAACUGGCCUAUAUUUUCCUUUCUUCUGCCUCUCUCCCUUCUUGAAGAAUGGAGUAAAAUUUGCAAUUUUCCAGUCUUCCAGAACCAUUCCAGUAUCUUGCGAUUCUUGAAAGAUAAUUACUCAUGCCUCCAUGAUUUCUUUAGUCACUUCUUUUGAACUCUGGGAUGUACACCAUCUGGUCCAGGUGACUUAUCUAUGUUCAAACCUUUGAGUUUUCCAAGAAGCUUCUCUCUAGUUACAGUAGCUUCACACACCUCAUGGCCCCUGAAACUUGGAACUUCCACCAUAUUGCUAGUAUAUUCUACAGUGAAGACUGAUCCAAAGUACUUCAGUUCAUCUGUCAUUUUGUUGUCCCCAUUACUACCUCUCCAACAUCAUUUUCCAGCAGUCAAUAUCCGCUCUUGGCUCUCUUUUACACUUUGUGUCUGAAGAAACUUCUGGUAUCUUUUUAAAUUUUAUUGGCUAGCUUUAUUCCAUCUUUACCUUAAUGACUUUUUUAGUUGCCUUCUGUUGGUUUUUGAGAGCUUCCCAAUCCUGUAACUUCCCAUUAAUUUUUGCUCUAUUAUAUGCUCCCACUUGUCUUUUCUGUUUGCUUUGACUUCUCUUGUUAGCCACAGUUGUGUCAUCUUGCUUUUAGAAUACUUCUUCCUCUUUGGGAUGUAUAUAUCCUGUGCCUUCUGAAUUGCUUCCAGAAAUUCCAGCCAUUGCUGCUCUGCUGUCAUCCCUGCCAGUGUUCUUUUCCAAUCAAUUCUGGCCAGCUCUUCUCUCGUGCCUCUAUAAUUCCAUUUAUUGUACUGUAAUGCUGAUACAUCUGACCUUAGUUUUCCUUCUCAAAUUUCAGGCUGAAUUUGAUCAUAUUAUGAUCAUUUUCCCCUAAGGGUUCUUUUACUUUAAGCUCUCUAAUCAAUUCUUGUUCAUUGCACAACACCCAAUCCAGAAUAACUGAUCCUCUAAUGGACUCAACUACGAGGUGCUCAAAAAUGCCAUCUCAUAGGCACUCUAGAAAUGUUCCCCUCCUGUAAUCCAGUAUCAACCCGAUUUUUCCCAAUCUACCUGCAUGUUGAAGUCCCCCAUGACCAUUGUAACAUUGCCCUUUUGGCAUGCAUUUCUAUCUCCCAUUGUAAUUUGUAGACCACAUCCUUACUACUGUUUGGAGGUCUUUUUACCCUUGAAGUCCAUUAGCUCUAUCCACAAUGAUUCAACACCUUUUGACCCCAUGUCACUUUUUUCUAACGAUUAGGUUUCUUCUUUUUUUACCAACAGAGCAACACCACCCCCUCUGCCUUUCUGCCUGUCCUUUUGAUAGAGUAUGUAUCCUCGGUCGUUAAGCUCCCAGCUGUAAUCUUCUUUCAGCCUUGAUUCAGUGAUGCCUACAACACCAUACCUGCCAAUCUGCAACUGUGCUGAUAGUUCAUCUACCUUAUUCCACAUACUGUGUGCAUUCAAAUACUACACCUUCAGUCCUGUAUUCACCCUUUUGGAUUUUUGUCCACUUUUUACUUUGCACCAUGCUCAACCUUUUGAUUUUCAGCUUUGUCUGAAGUCUUACCAACAUCUGCCUCCACAGCUUCUCCAACAACUGUUCUGGCACUUUAGUUCCCAUCCCCUUCAACUCUAGUUUAAACCCCACCAUGCAGCAUUAGCAAACUUUCCUUCUGUGAUGUUAGUCCCCCUCCAGUUUGGGUGCAAAUCAUCCCUUUUGUACAGGUCCUACCAUUCCUGGAAAAGAGCCCAGUGAUGCAAAAAUCUUAUACCCUCCUCUCUUACACCAAUUCCUUAGCCACAUAUUAAACUGUAUAAUCAUCCUAGUUCUGGCCUCACUAGCACGUGGCAUGGGUAGCAAUGCUGAGAUCUCAAACCUGGAGGUCAUUUAACUUAGCACGUAACUCCCAGAACUCCCUAUGCAAAGCCUCAUCACUUACCCUACCCAUGUCAUUGGUACCUACAUGGACCACAACUUCUGGCUGUUCACCCUCCCACCUAAGAAUGGUGAGGACUUGAUCUGAGGUAUCUCGGACUCCGGUACUCAGGAGGCAACAUAUCAUCUGGAAAUCGUGUUCUUUCCUAUAGAACCUCCUAUCUGUUCUCUUGACUAACAAAUCCCCUAUCACCAAGGUGUGCCUCUUCUCCCCUCUUCCCUUCUGAGUCACAGAGGUAGGCUCAGUGCCAGAUGUCAGGACUCAGUGGUCAGAGACUUCCUCAAGCUGGCCUGGUUGAAAACCCCCACAAUGAUGGGGUGUGCUGUUUCCUUACUGCUGAUCUUGUGCUUGCUGGACAUUGGGCAAGGGUGGAAUAUACACUGCUACCAGGAUGACGUUGGAAAAAAAAAUAGAUGACUCUUGACCACUAGAUGUUCCAGGUUGGGUGAGCAGGACUGGGAAAGAACCACCACAUCUGUGCACCAAGAUGAGUUAAUCAUAAAAGACAUUCUGUCGCUUCUACCUUUAAGUGACUCAGCUGUUCUGUCUUUGUGGUGGAUGCUGAAGCCCUGGGCCUGCAGUGCUGUCUAAAAUGGUGCAGUUGAGCCAUGAUUCCUUGAAGCAAAGUACACAGCAGUCCCUGAUAUUCCUCUGGUACUGAAAUCUUGCUCUGAGGUCUUCAAUUUUAUUUUACAUUCACCAGCAGGGUAGUUGGAAGUUGGGGGGUUGGGUGGGUUGAAGGGCUUUGCAUUUCAAUUGCACCUGCAGACCACAGCAUGUUUUUCACUUUUCUUUUUACUUAAAGGUGACUCGUGACCUGAGUGAAUUUUGAAGAUUGAUAGAUUUUUUUGAAAAGUCUUAAAACAAUGUUGCUUACUGAACUUCCUAUUUCUGUGGCUGUGGAUUUCAGCUGUAGUAGUCCUAAAUGGGAAUAUUUGAUGAUUCCCUCUGGAGAUGCACAUUUUCCGGUGCCAUUAUUCAAGAUUUUCUCCAAUGAAUCAUUUGACGAGAUUACUGACUUGCACUUGGUAUUCUGUUCACUUAUUUGAAAGAAUGAGGAUGAUGUAAACUCCUUUAGAAAAAAAGAAAUCAAUUGUAAACAAAAUACAGAUUUUCUUGCAUAGAAAACACUUGAAUUGUUAAUGGGAUUAGCAGUGAAUAGAGACUGCUAAUGAUCUGCAUGUCAUAUUUCAAAGAAACUGCCCUUGCCUUGAAGGAAUUAGAAAUAUAAAAACAUAAGAAAAGAAUCUUUGCUGCUAAUCCUCUGAUCCAGAUGUAAAGGAAGGAUGUCAGUGGUUGUAGUAUUGAAAAGCAUUGCCUCACUCUGACAUUCUUGAGAUUUAAUUCAAUAAAAUCUCUUUCACUGGCAAGUGAUGAAGCUGAAGAAUUAGUGCUGUUAUUCUCAUGUAAUUUCAAAUGAUUGUCCAAUCUUGUAUUGAGCAAUCAGGCAGGUCAGCAAUGGGUUAAUGUUAUGAUGCUUAAUGAAAUUUGGACUGUCCUUGUGAACAUUGGUCAGUCGUGUGGCUUUUUCUGGAAAGAGACCCACAGCUGAUUUCUUUGGUAGCCACAAUGAUUAAUGUAACACCUGGCACACACUGAUCCGGAGCUUGAAGGGCAAAUUCUGUGUUAGCAGGCAGGAUCGAUCUUGCUGCUGCUCUUGGAAUUUUGACUGCGGCCUCUAAAAUGGGGAAAAAUGCAGGAAAGACAAACAGUAGAACUUAACACAAAGUGCACUGCAGAUGCUGUGGUCAAAUCAAGAUGUACAAAUGUUACGUCUGUGCCCCCCCUCCUUUUUGAGAAUCGCAAGAUCGCUAUUAAGUCGGGGCAGGAGACCCAGGAAAUGAGAGAGAGACGUUUGGAAUGUCCUGGCCCUCAGCGAUACAAAGCCACGGAACAGGUCAUUGUCUCUUGGAGACGGAAUUGUGCAUUGAGUACUGUACUUCAUGGAAGCCCUCAGGCAACAUGGGCUGGUUGGGGGAUGGCAUCAUUCCACCCUGAGUGACAUCUGAGACCCCGUGAGUGGGGAUAAAAGAGGGUCUGGGGAACAGCCCCUUUAGACGCACCAGGAGAAACGCUAGAAAUCCUGUAACAGCGUAAUAGCGAAAGCCGGUGGAAAAGCCCACGCGCGUCGUUUUCCAUUUGCCUCAGAAUUGGUGGGUCUUGCCAUGGAAGAACAGCUUUAGCUAACACAAAGGAGAAAUCAGCCCCAACGACUCUCGAAGGAUUGACAUCAUAAAAGGAAUGGACAAGUUUUAAAACUCUCUCUCUUGACUCCAACCAAAGGCUGCAGCCUGCAGCUUGAAUGAACUAAAGUGACUUUUAUAUUUCCAUCGGACAAUACAUAAACCCCUAGACAACGAUAGAGCUAUUUCUUAUUGAGUAUUAUUAUACCUGCGCUUUUAGAUUUAGUAUUGACAAUGUAUAUUAUCUGUAUAUUUGCAUUGAUAUUAUUUUUGUGUAUUUUUAUCAAUAAAUACUGUUAAAAAUAGUACCAUCAGACUUCAACAGACCUCUCUAUCUUUGCUGGUAAGUGACCCAGUUACGGGGUACGUAACACAAAA
Molecule: RNA transcript, 13858 nt
Organism: Hypanus sabinus (Atlantic stingray)
Lineage: Eukaryota; Metazoa; Chordata; Chondrichthyes; Myliobatiformes; Dasyatidae
Exons: 8
Source: RefSeq, a predicted model, not a curated record